GACCUCUUCAGUGGCUUAGUGGUUAGAACAUCCGCUUCGGAUGCAGGAGGUCAUGGGUUUGAAACCUGGCAGAGUCA
Molecule: non-coding RNA, 77 nt
Organism: Potamilus streckersoni
Lineage: Eukaryota; Metazoa; Mollusca; Bivalvia; Unionida; Unionidae
Source: the annotation of a GenBank genome assembly